CAGCACUACAGACUGACACACUGUAGACCGACGGUCCUCUGAGGUGUCUUCAGUAAGAAUGACGUUUAAGAAACGAUCUAGGAAACCCUUGCGAAUCAUGACUCUGAUAGCGGCCUGCGUUGUGAUAGCUGGCUGAAGCCAUAAAGACUGACCAGGCAUGGCACGAAGCAGGAUUCAACACACUUGAUUUAACAUGUGGAUCCCUAGUACAAGUUGUUCCCCAUUUUCCUCAGUAGAAUUCUGGGUGCAUACACUGAGCAUUUGAAGAGCUCUCCAUUUUUCAAGUAAAAUAAAAAGGAAUAAAGACUGCAUUAGCAAAGUCAUCUUGUUCCACUUAUUUAGAUCCCCCAUUACGUGUAAAUAUCGCAAAACAACUGGUAUACAAAUAAAAUGGAUUCCUGUUGGUUUAGACAUUUGCUCUUUUGUUGUUGUUUUUUUAAAUAAAAAACACAAAAUACUGUAAUCUUUUAACAAAAACAAAAAGAAUAUUUAGAUAUGGUUUAUUUCAUGAGUCUCUUGUGACACAGAGGGUUUAUAUAAAACAACAACAACAAAAUCAUGAUACUUCUAGAAACACUAAAUAUGAGUAUUGUACCAUAUUAUGGCUUCUUAGUUAAAAUUUUAAAAAUCAGUA
Non-coding RNA from Electrophorus electricus (electric eel), 634 nucleotides. Lineage: Eukaryota; Metazoa; Chordata; Actinopteri; Gymnotiformes; Gymnotidae. The record is from RefSeq and is a predicted model, not a curated record.